Penaeus chinensis is the source of this 1693-nucleotide long non-coding RNA. RefSeq lists it as uncharacterized. The transcript has 2 exons. Lineage: Eukaryota; Metazoa; Arthropoda; Malacostraca; Decapoda; Penaeidae. The record is from RefSeq and is a predicted model, not a curated record.
UAGAUAUAUAUGUAUAUAUGUACACACACACACACACACACAUACAUAUAUAUGUGUAUGCGCAUAUAUAUAUUUGCACAUACAGUUAGCGGCGCUAAUCUUUCGAAAUGUUUCUUGCAGCGAGCGGUCCGCCGGAAGACGUUUCCCCCACCAGCCCGAGCAGCGUCUCAGCAGUCAAUGGUGAUAAAAUAAGUAAGACCUUUCCCAUUUGAAGUGUGCCAAUUGAAAGUAUGUUACAUGGACCGGCCAAAGGUAUAAUUUGUAUUUGUAUUGUAUUUAACGUGAUUUCUGAUGAUGGCGAAAACCAACUGUUGUUUUACGAAACUGCGCUAUCAAACAGCUGCGUGACCUCCCGCAUGCGUCGCAUGGUCGCGUUCCUUCCCUCUCUCUUGGGUUUGGGCCCAGAAUGGCGUCAGGGGAAUUUUCAAACGAGGUUCAACAGUGUAAAAAAGUUGAAAGUAAUAAUACAUUUUUUUUUUUUUUUUUUUUUACGGAAUGACACUCUUUGCUGAGGUUGAGGAAUUCACACGGUCCCCAUGUCGUACUUUUUUUUUUUUGAGGGUGUUGUUUGGGCAGACAAGUAUUGACAGAGUAGUAUUUUCCGUUCAUUAUUCCCGAGGUAAGAGAAUGUGAUCGGGAUUUUGUGUGUGUGAAAAUCGCCCAGUGUUUGCGAUGUUUGACGCCUUCGUCUCUGGAAAGGGCCGAACCAGCCCUCCAGCAUUUAAGAACUUUCAAGUCUGUCGGCAUUGUAAGAUCGACAGCUAUUUCCCUGUAAAUUUACAAUUUUCACCCAGAUUUCAGAUUUUCAGGUUCUGCGCCUCCAAUGAGCAAAGUCUUUAGAUUUUGGCAAGGUUUGAUUCCCGAUCACAGCCAGAAGAAAUCUAUCCUCCCCGUCCAGGUAGGCGAGGGAUGUAUAUCUCUGUAAGUCGCGACGUUGAUCUUAUUGAAUUUACUUCGAACUGCUAUUGACAUAAAAUGAACUGCAUUCUGAUUUACUAAUUUUCUCAUAGGCCUACCCUACUAACAUCAAAUUUCAGGAGAGAUUUGUUUCAGGUUCUCAUUCGCCAGCACCUCCUAGGCUCUUAGCUACCUUGACUCCCAAAUCUGCGCUGAGUUACACUUGCUGUAUGAAUCCCAACUCCCGUGUCAGUGAGGACUGAGACGAUAUCCUGGCGGGCCUGGACGAAGACAGGUGCAGAAUGCAGUCGCCGGCACAGGCAGCAGCGCAUGGCCAUCCCGCACAGGACAGUCACGGGGCGGGAAGUCCUGUGUGUGAAAGGCUCGGGAACGGAGAGCCUGUCAGGCACCAUCACGUGACGUCACAAAUAGAUGUCCCCGAGAUGGUUACCACACGUGGACGACUCCACACACUAUUCGCCCGUGCGAUGUCCUUGCCGACUGGCUUUAUUACGAACAUCUGGAGAGUUUUUUUUUCCACUCAUCGGCCAAAGGUUGUUUCGAGGUGACUGGAAUCUGCGACACAACGAAGGUUCCCGCCACCUCCUCGUGACCGUGGUCGUGGAGUUUUUUUUCCCUGUCCAGCGGCCAGAUCGGCACUGACAUGAGCCUUUGCCAUGCUUACUUAAUUACGAUGCAUAUCUCAUCUGUUAUAUACGCUGCCAUAUCGUCACGUAUCAAUGAUGGAUCAUUCGCCAUCAGGCUUUAAGCAACUGACAAUAAAUGUCGAAUUUAC